GACGAACGCUGGCGGCGUGCUUAACACAUGCAAGUCGAACGGGCCCGCCCCUGUCUUUGGGGGUGGGUUGAGUGGCGAACGGGUGAGUAUCACGUGAGUAACCUGCCCCCUGCUCCUGGAUAACUGCUUGAAAGGGCGGCUAAUACGGGGUGUGCCGGCUGGUCCGCAUGGGCCUGGUCGGGAUAGUUUCAUCUUCGGGUGUUUCGGUGGGGGAUGGGCUCGCGGCCUAUCAGCUUGUUGGUGGGGUGAUGGCCCACCAAGGCGGUGACGGGUAGCCGGCCUGAGAGGGUGGGCGGCCACACUGGGACUGAGACACGGCCCAGACUCCUGCGGGAGGCAGCAGUGGGGGGUAUUGCACAAUGGGCGGAAGCCUGAUGCAGCGACGUCGCGUGAGGGAUGGAGGCCUUCGGGUUGUGAACCUCUUUCUCCGGUGGUGAAGGCCCUGUCCGUUGCGGCGGGGUUGACGGUAGCCGGGUAUGAAGCGCCGGCUAACUACGUG
Molecule: ribosomal RNA, 499 nt
Filed under: uncultured bacterium
Lineage: Bacteria
Description: partial 16S ribosomal RNA
Rfam family: Bacterial small subunit ribosomal RNA
Source: RNAcentral